Non-coding RNA from Pelobates cultripes (western spadefoot toad), 1304 nucleotides. The record is from the annotation of a GenBank genome assembly. Lineage: Eukaryota; Metazoa; Chordata; Amphibia; Anura; Pelobatidae.
GUUUUAUGUUUUUUAUAUAUAUUACAGACUUUGUUAAGUUUUCACAAUGCCCACAAAGCAACACAUUAAUUAAUUAAAAAGAAACUUCUAUAUUUUCACGUCUCUAUAUUACAAAAUUUACAAAUGUCACAACUUUAAUUCAAAGUCAACCAACAUUACAAAUCUGGCGUCUUGUCCCUGUUCACCUUCUUCGGCAAUCUGGGAUACAGAUGAAAAGUUACUGUUGUUACGGACAAGAACAAAAUCCAGGCCAAAACCUAAAAGGCCUAAAACGUUAUUUGCCGUGUUUAACAGUUCUACUGCAGUUUCACCAUUGCCAAAUGUUCCCACAAAUCCUAACGGUACCCGUCACCGACAAAAGUUAGGGGAGGUGGAGCUAGCAAAAAUAGGGGAAUGGCUGGCCACAAACACGACAGUCUUUCCUAAGGUAGGAAGACAUUCUCUGAUUGGGGUUAGAACUGGGUAGGUAGAUAGUGAAGCUAAAAUGAGAAAGAUGGGUCUCACUUGAAAUUUCUGAAACUUCCUGGUUUUGGCACGAACGUUCCAAGCUAAAACCUUGAGAGUAGUAACAAUUAAAGGGUUACGUCAGCCUCAAUGACCACUUGUGCGUUUAGAAAUGGUCAUGGUGAUGGGAAUCUAUAUGUGCAGUAUUUCUGUUUGAAAUGCUUCACAUACAGAGAUAUCUGCACUCAGGACCGGCCUUAGAGUUGUGUGACCUGUGCGGCCUGUAGGGCAUCAUAGCAAGAGGGGCGCCAGGUGACCAGCACAGCUUGCAACAACCAGGGCCUAUGCAACCUCAGAGCUCUCUGGUUUUGGAGAGAAUGUUUAAUGUAAAUUCUGAGAGUAAUAUGUAUAUAUAUUCAUAUUUGUGUAUUAACAAUAUAUGUAUUAUUAUGCCUAUAAUAUUUACACAUAUAUUAAUAUACAUGUGUUUAUGUAUAAUAUGCCCAGAGAUUACAUUAAUACAUAGUAUCUAUGUAAUGAAGGCUUAGCACGUUUUACAUGGUGGAAAGUAUUGUAGCCCCAUGUAGCCAGGCGCAGCUAAGCGGAAAAAGGCCUUGACAGGGGUUAGGAGGCGGGCUUAGGAGGAAGUAAGCAAGGGAGUGGAGUUAUGGGUAAGUAGGUUUGGUUAUUUAAAUGGGCAGCCAUUUUAGGUAAGUCAUUCUAAUUUCCUACCUGGUUAAGUUUGUGUUCGCUCCUGUGGGCACAGAUUUGGCUUGGUAGGGUUUUUUCUUCUUUUGUCUCCCUGCAGGACCGAUGGACGAAGUGGAGCGACUGCUGGAGGAGAUCCGGUCGGCGGCGAG